CCUACGGGUGGCAGCAGUGAGGAAUAUUGGUCAAUGGACGAGAGUCUGAACCAGCCAAGUAGCGUGAAGGAUGACUGCCCUAUGGGUUGUAAACUUCUUUUAUAUGGUAGUAAAAUGUUCCACGUGUGGGAUUUUGUAUGUACCAUAUUCAUAAGGAUCGGCUAACUCCGUGCCAGCAGCCGCGGUAAUACGGAGGAUACGGGCGUUAUCCGGAUUUGUUGGGGUUAAAGGGAGCGUAGGUGGAGUGAUAAGUAAGUUGUGAAAGUUUGGGGCUCAACCGUAAAAUUGCAGUUGAAACUGGCAGUCUGGAGUACAGUAGAGGUGAGCGGAAUUCGUGGUGUAGCGGUGAAAUGCGUAGAUAUCACGAAGAACUCCGAUUGCGAAGGCAGCUCACUGGACUGCAACUGACACUGAGGCUCGAAAGUGUGGGUAUCAAACAGGAUUAGAUACCCCUGUAGUC
Molecule: ribosomal RNA, 460 nt
Filed under: uncultured bacterium
Lineage: Bacteria
Description: partial 16S ribosomal RNA
Rfam family: Bacterial small subunit ribosomal RNA
Source: RNAcentral